UACGAAGGUCCCAAGCGUUGUUCGGAAUCACUGGGCGUAAAGAGUGCGUAGGCGGCGCGGAAAGUCAGAUGUGAAAUCCCGGGGCUCAACCUCGGAACGGCAUCCGAUACUCCCGCGCUAGAGGACUGGAGAGGAGUCUGGAAUUCACGGUGUAGCAGUGAAAUGCGUAGAUAUCGUGAGGAACACUAGUGGCGAAGGCGAGACUCUGGACAGUUCCUGACGCUGAGGCACGAAGGCCAGGGGAGCGAAGGGGAUUAGAUACCCCCGUAGUCCUGGCAGUAAACGGUGCUCGCUUGGUAUGCGCGGUUUCGACCCCGUGCGUGCCGGAGCUAACGCGUUAAGCGAGCCGCCUGGGAAGUACGGUCGCAAGAUUA
RNAcentral lists this ribosomal RNA (374 nucleotides) under uncultured prokaryote. RNAcentral's name for it is "bacterial SSU rRNA". It matches the Rfam family "Bacterial small subunit ribosomal RNA", at positions 524 to 896 of the family's 1533-position model. The record is from RNAcentral.